Sphaeramia orbicularis (orbiculate cardinalfish) is the source of this 86-nucleotide long non-coding RNA. RefSeq lists it as uncharacterized. NCBI's taxonomy places the organism in Eukaryota, Metazoa, Chordata, Actinopteri, Kurtiformes, Apogonidae. The transcript is spliced from 3 exons. The record is from RefSeq and is a predicted model, not a curated record.
CCUUUAGCUUCGUUAUUUUGAUUUUUUUUCCAGUGGUUGAAAAGAGCAUACGUAUUUAUUUCUUGUUCUCUUUUCCUCAGAUACAA